This 801-nucleotide ribosomal RNA is filed under the name uncultured bacterium. RNAcentral describes it as "bacterial SSU rRNA". It matches the Rfam family "Bacterial small subunit ribosomal RNA", at positions 8 to 796 of the family's 1533-position model. The record is from RNAcentral.
AGAGUUUGAUCAUGGCUCAGAGUGAACGCUGGCGGUAGGCCUGACACAUGCAAGUCGAACGGCAGCACAGUAAGAGCUUGCUCUUACGGGUGGCGAGUGGCGGACGGGUGAGGAAUGCAUCGGAAUCUACUCUGUCGUGGGGGAUAACGUAGGGAAACUUACGCUAAUACCGCAUACGACGUACGGGUGAAAGCAGGGGAUCUUCGGACCUUGCGCGAUUGAAUGAGCCGAUGCCCGAUUAGCUAGUGGGCGGGGCAAGAGCCCACCAAGGCGACGAUCGGUAGCUGGUCUGAGAGGAUGAUCAGCCACACUGGAACUGAGACACGGUCCAGACUCCUACGGGAGGCAGCAGUGGGGAAUAUUGGACAAUGGGCGCAAGCCUGAUCCAGCCAUACCGCGUGGGUGAAGAAGGCCUUCGGGUCGUAAAGCCCUUUUGUUGGGAAAGAAAAGCAGUCGGUUAAUACCCGAUUGUUCUGACGGUACCCAAAGAAUAAGCACCGGCUAAUUUCGUGCCAGCAGCCGCGGUAAUACGAAGGGUGCAAGCGUUACUCGGAAUUACUGGGCGUAAAGCGUGCGUAGGUGGUUGUUUAAGUCUGUCGUGAAAGCCCUGGGCUCAACCUGGGAAUUGCGAUGGAAACUGGGCGACUAGAGUGUGGCAGAGGGUAGUGGAAUUCCUGGUGUAGCAGUGAAAUGCGUAGAGAUCAGGAGGAACAUCCGUGGCGAAGGCGACUGCCUGGGCCAACACUGACACUGAGGCACGAAAGCGUGGGGAGCAAACAGGAUUAGAUACCCCGGUAGUCC